AUUGAACGCUGGCGGCAUGCUUUACACAUGCAAGUCGAACGGUAACAGGCCUUCGGGUGCUGACGAGUGGCGCACGGGUGAGUAAUGCAUCGGAACGUACCCAGAGGUGGGGGAUAACGCAGCGAAAGCUGUGCUAAUACCGCAUGUGAUCUGAGGAUGAAAGCGGGGGACCGAGCAGCAAUGUUUGGCCUCGCGCCUUUGGAGCGGCCGAUGUCGGAUUAGCUAGUUGGUGGGGUAAAGGCCUACCAAGGCGACGAUCCGUAGCUGGUCUGAGAGGACGACCAGCCACACUGGGACUGAGACACGGCACAGACUCCUACGGGAGGCAGCAGUGGGGAAUUUUGGACAAUGGGCGCAAGCCUGAUCCAGCAAUGCCGCGUGCGGGAAGAAGGCCUUCGGGUUGUAAACCGCUUUUGGCAGGAACGAAACGGUGUCCGCUAAUACCGGGCGCUAAUGACGGUACCUGCAGAAUAAGCACCGGCUAACUACGUG
Molecule: ribosomal RNA, 492 nt
Filed under: uncultured bacterium
Lineage: Bacteria
Description: partial 16S ribosomal RNA
Rfam family: Bacterial small subunit ribosomal RNA
Source: RNAcentral